AAUAAGAAAAUGAAAAAAAUGAUUUUUAUUCUUUUUGUCAAGAAAAAACAAGAAGAGGGGAAUAUUAUACAGCUGUGAAAGGAAAGUGUGAUGACGUGGCGUAAACCAAUCAAGUACCAAUGAUUGGUCACUACUGCCUUCUCUUCUUCCAGAUACUUUAUUCUCUUCCACCAGUUCAUGCUGACGUACGUUGCUUUUGCGUUUACGAAGAAGCCCUUCUUAUAACUAAACUUAGGGUCCGAAUGGUGACUGCAUUUUGCGGUGCGGAAAAAGUGCAGUGCGGUUCAAAUAGUAACGAAAAUACAUAGAUACAUAUGUAUAUGUAGAGAUUUUGAUACUGUUACAGCACUGUUGCGGUGCGGUUUUGGAUGCGGUUUACCAAACAAUUUCAAUCCUAUUUGAUCUUUAAUUUUUCUCCAAUAUGAAUUCAUGCAACAUACUUGUCGA
Molecule: small RNA, 447 nt
Filed under: Arabidopsis thaliana (thale cress)
Lineage: Eukaryota; Viridiplantae; Streptophyta; Magnoliopsida; Brassicales; Brassicaceae
Description: ATSL236180
Source: RNAcentral